Molecule: ribosomal RNA, 443 nt
Filed under: uncultured bacterium
Lineage: Bacteria
Description: partial 16S ribosomal RNA
Rfam family: Bacterial small subunit ribosomal RNA
Source: RNAcentral
CCUACGGGAGGCAGCAGUGGGGAAUAUUGGGCAAUGGGCGCAAGCCUGACCCAGCAACGCCGCGUGAAGGAAGAAGGCUUUCGGGUUGUAAACUUCUUUUCUCAGGGACGAAGCAAGUGACGGUACCUGAGGAAUAAGCCACGGCUAACUACGGGCCAGCAGCCGCGGUAAUACGUAGGAGGCAAGCGUUAUCCGGAUUUACUGGGUGUAAAGGGCGUGUAGGCGGGGACGCAAGUCAGAUGUGAAAACCACGGGCUCAACCUGUGGCCUGCAUUUGAAACUGUGUUUCUUGAGUACUGGAGAGGCAGACGGAAUUCCUAGUGUAGCGGUGAAAUGCGUAGAUAUUAGGAAGAACACCAGUGGCGAAGGCAGUCUGCUGGACCGCAACUGACGCUGAGGCGCGAAAGCGUGGGGAGCAAACAGGAUUAGAUACCCUUGUAGUC